This 253-nucleotide ribosomal RNA is filed under the name uncultured bacterium. RNAcentral describes it as "partial 16S ribosomal RNA". It matches the Rfam family "Bacterial small subunit ribosomal RNA", at positions 524 to 776 of the family's 1533-position model. The record is from RNAcentral.
UACGUAGGGGGCAAGCGUUGUCCGGAAUCAUUGGGCGUAAAGAGCGUGUAGGCGGCCCGAUAAGUCCGCCGUGAAAGUCCAGGGCUCAACCCUGGAAUGCCGGUGGAAACUGUCGGGCUGGAGUCCGGAAGAGGCGAGUGGAAUUCCUGGUGUAGCGGUGAAAUGCGCAGAUAUCAGGAGGAACACCGGUGGCGAAGGCGGAUCUCUGGGCCUUACCUGACGCUGAGGCGCGAAAGCUAGGGGAGCGAACAGG